GUCUGUUUAGUCCUAUUAAUUUAUAAAUCGUGUUUUGUUUUGUUUUUUGUAAAAAAUAAUAAUAUAAAAAAUGCAUGUAAACUCAGAUGAACAACAUCGGAUUAAAUAGCCUUAAUGUAAGAUAUUUUGCAUCAACUUGAAUCAUGUGGCUUUGAAAAAGAUCAAAGCGUGUAUAGGUGAUAUAUUUUCGCAAGGUUGAUCAUCAUUCUUUUAUUGAAAGUAUCAUCUAAAAACAAGCACUUUUAUUUUAGACGCCCGUCAUACCCUUUUCACGUCUUAAUG
RNAcentral lists this long non-coding RNA (282 nucleotides) under Mytilus galloprovincialis (Mediterranean mussel). The record is from RNAcentral. Lineage: Eukaryota; Metazoa; Mollusca; Bivalvia; Mytilida; Mytilidae.